GUGGGCGUAGCUCAGUUGGUAGAGCUAUGGAUUGUGAUUCCAUCGGUCGUGGGUUCGAGCCCCAUCGUCCACC
Marinomonas mediterranea MMB-1 is the source of this 73-nucleotide transfer RNA. It matches the Rfam family "tRNA". From Rfam's summary of the family: Transfer RNA (tRNA) molecules are approximately 80 nucleotides in length. Their secondary structure includes four short double-helical elements and three loops (D, anti-codon, and T loops). Further hydrogen bonds mediate the characteristic L-shaped molecular structure. tRNAs have two regions of fundamental functional importance: the anti-codon, which is responsible for specific mRNA codon recognition, and the 3' end, to which the tRNAs corresponding amino acid is attached (by aminoacyl-tRNA synthetases). tRNAs cope with the degeneracy of the genetic code in two manners: having more than one tRNA (with a specific anti-codon) for a particular amino acid; and 'wobble' base-pairing, i.e. permitting non-standard base-pairing at the 3rd anti-codon position. The record is from Rfam. NCBI's taxonomy places the organism in Bacteria, Pseudomonadati, Pseudomonadota, Gammaproteobacteria, Oceanospirillales, Oceanospirillaceae.